GGGGAGGUACUUUUGGGAUAGCAUUGGAAAUGUAAUUGAGGAAAAUACGUAAUAAAAAAAAUUAAAAAAAAAAAAAGCACCUACUGAUUCCCUACUUGGCCAUGGUCUCAAAUACUGGUGUGAAGGGAGCUUUAGUCUUUGGGAUCUGUUUCCUUUUCUUCUCUUUGAGAAUUUUUCCCUGCUGUGUUUUCUAAACUGACCCACCUCCUGAGCUUUGGUGGUGAGUCCUGCCACAGACUCAAAAAUAGCUAGGAUGGCAGGCAUAGGCCACCAUCUUGGCCCUAGGCUCCCUCUGCAGGCAGGAGAAAUUGCACCCUUUUUUCCCCCCUCUGAGGGACUGGACAGAAACUUUGAUUAAAUAUCUCAUAGGAAGGAUUUCAGAAAUGACUCAUUUAACUAGCCUAAGCUUGAUACAAUGGGGAAAAAUAAAAAUCCCAAAGGCAAAACUCUUCUGUAAAAUGAAGAACAAAAACAAAACAAAACAACAACCAAAACCCUUACUUUAAAGCACAAAAAGAACUCAGAGUUAUGAUUUUUGAAACAUUUUACUUUUUUUUCCCCCCCGGGGGUUGGUUAGACCUGAAGCCCAUCAGUCGGGAGUGAAAUUUGCAUAUAUUUGUUAAUUAAAAUUGUUUUUAGUUCCUUCAUAGGAGCAGCUGCUCUGCAGUCAGUAGUGAUCAUUUGCUUCCUUUGUUAUCAAGCUGCAUGUAUGGUUGACAUAGCUUAAAACAACAAACAUUCUUUAAGUAUGCUGACUGUACACAGAACAAUACCAGGUUUUCUGACAAUGUACAAAUGAAUAACUAAGUAGACAUUAUCUUUAAUUAUAAAUUAAAUGUUGAAUGUUCUAUGAAAAAUAAAGCCUUGGGAAAUUAAUAUUUUAUUACAAUUUAGUAUAGUAGUCUUCAGUUGGUUUAUCAAUGAUCAGAAGGGCAUAAAGAAACAACUUUGGGUUGGUAAGUUUAAUGAGUUUAUAUUUUGUAAAUAAACAUUUUACAAUGUACAUAAUAUCUGUAUUGUUAAUCCAAGUAUAGACUAGAUAGUCUCUGUGGAAACAACUGAGGAGACCAAUUAUGUUAUUGUUUUCCUUCUCUGUGAACUACUCUCUACCCAACAUAAUCAGGUUGAGAUAUCUGGUAAGCUAGUAAGGGGUGAAAGUACAAAGUGUCUUAAAAGAAUAAAUGAAAGUACUAUAAGCAUAUCCUAAAGACAGCAGACCAUUGUCUUGAUGCAGGCCCAGGGCUGUGAGCUAAGCUGUAGCCAAGAGGCUUUUGCAUGGAACUCUAUGAGAGGUGCUGAGAAAUGAAAUCAUCUUACACAUCAAAGAUAUGCAACAUAUGGAUUGGGCUUCCACUUAUGAGAAAAGGUAGUCUAGAAUCAUGUACAAAAUUACCUCCACUUUCAACAGUCAAGUUUACUGUAAUAGAGAUAUGUUGUAUUUUUUUUCUUGCAUAAUGGCUCCAAAUACCACAGAAGUAUCCAUUAUACACCAAGUAUCUUUUAAGAAAUGUUUUCCCGACUAUUCACUGAGUACAAGUAGUUCCCACUAGAGGUACCAACAUUAGUGCCCCUCAUCAUUUGCUGAAAUUAUUCUAGCAGGUUUACAAUUCUUUCAAUGUAUGGGGCAUGCAUGUGUUUCACUAGCAUUGUUAAUAAUUCAGAGCUGUAGGGUAGCAACUGUUUACCCAGCGGAGGAAAAGUUUUGUACCCAGACAAAAGUAUAGUAGGUACAAAUCUAAGCCUGAAGAUAGGAAUAAAUUGCUCCUGGAAAUAAUCUGACAUUAUUCUAUUGUUCCAGAAGGACUUAAAUUAAGAUGAUGUAAACACAAAAAUUCUUCCUAGUUUUUGUUUAUGCAUCUUGAAUACACUUUUAUUAAUAUGUAAAAUGAAUACAUGUGGCAAGUUUAAUAAUUCUAUUCCUAAAUAAACACACUUUUUGAUAAGAAAAAGAAAAACAAUUAUUUCUUGAUUUAUUCCAAAUGAGCUACAGGGCCUAAAACAUAACACAGGCAAUAAUGAAUGC
Molecule: long non-coding RNA, 2023 nt
Filed under: Mus musculus (house mouse)
Lineage: Eukaryota; Metazoa; Chordata; Mammalia; Rodentia; Muridae
Description: long non-coding RNA chr2:68017723-68019746
Source: RNAcentral